Molecule: RNA transcript, 2915 nt
Organism: Oncorhynchus kisutch (coho salmon)
Lineage: Eukaryota; Metazoa; Chordata; Actinopteri; Salmoniformes; Salmonidae
Gene name: inositol polyphosphate-5-phosphatase A-like
Exons: 17
Source: RefSeq, a predicted model, not a curated record
ACACAACAUUGACAACAACUGCUUGAUCUGGUCGCGCGGGGCAGAAGGAACUGUUCUGGCGCAGGCAGCAGGUAUAAAUCCAAUUACAACGAAGAUAGAUAGAAAUCCUGUCCUGCUAUUUCUCAGCAGACAUGGAAGAUAAGUCUAUCUUUGAGCAGGAGUUAAGACGACAGACGACUCCCGCCAUCAACCAAAAGCGGGCAAGUUAAAAACAGCAGAAACAAAUGAUCAAGAUGAAUUAUACGACCGACUUCUUCAGCGACAUAUACAAUACAGCACCGUAUCAGUAAGCUGUUUGUAACACACGCAGAGGAUUUUGCCAUCGCGUCUAACGGAGUUCUUCCCGCGGACUAUUUCUGGAAUUCGAUCGUUAUCAUGGAAAUGUACACUGACGUCCUACUUGUCACUGCAAAUGUUGGAUCAUUAUUCGACAAUGUGGGUGAGAUUGAGAGUGACUGGAUGCGAGAAUUCUUUGGGACAGUCCAGAGUCACAAACCACGCUUCAUCGCCCUGCAUUUCCAGGAGGUUGGAGGGAAGGACUACAUGGUCAACAUGGGCCAUGCAGAGAACUUCUUUUGUAACAUUGAGUCCAAUGAGGAGAUGAGGGACUUUGACAGGGUCUGCACCUAUGUGGACAACCACUUCAAGAACGUGGACAGCUUCACUGCCUUGGGAAGCAUGUACUUCAUCCAUAAGUCAUUGAAAAACAUCUACCAAUAUGAUUUUAAUGUUAAGGAUUUCAAAGCAGUGUCUGGACAGAACAAGUAUGUAGGCUCCCUGGAUGAAGUAACCACAGUGGAGAAAGAAAAAUUCCUGAAGAAUUUCUGGCCCGAUUUCAAAUGGUCUAGGAAGGGCUUUAUGAGGACCCGGUGGAUCAUUCACAACCAGGGUCUGGACCUAGUCAACGUACACCUCUUCCAUGAUGCCUCCAACCUCAUUGCCUGUAACGCCAGUCCCUCCAUUUACUCAGACAACCGCCAGAAGGCCCUGAGAUAUGUCAUCAACAGGAUAUCAGACAGCAGCUACACCCCACUCCCCUUCUUCCUGUUUGGGGAUUUCAACUUCCGCCUGGACACCCUUAGCCUGGUCCAGAACUUGUCCACUUCAGCAGUGGUGCAGACAGUGAAGAAGGACAGCAGUAAUGAGGUGGAAAAAAUUAUCUGUGAGCAAAAGGACAAUGACCACAAGGUUCUUCUCCAUAUUGAGACCAAGAUAUUUGCCUACCUGCACCAGGCAGUGUUCACAGAGGACAACGGCAGAGCGAUUCUGAAGUAUGACAAGGAGAUCUCAGCCUUUCAAGAUGUCAUUACAGAGGAAGACAUUCUGUUUCCACCCAGUUACCCAUACUGUGAGGACUACACUAAACCCACCCAGUACAUGAACACUCGCUGCCCCUCCUGGUGUGACCGCAUUCUCAUGUCUCACACUGCCCAAGAUAUCAUCCACAGGAGAGAUGAGGGAGCGAGCAGUGUUGUUUACAACACAAUGGGCCCUAAUGUCUGCAUGGGAGACCACAAGCCUGUCUUCUUGUCCUUUGCACUGAAGACGAAUGGCCAUUGACAAGGAUCCCGCUCAAUGCUACACCAAGCCCAAUGUGGGACCUCUGUUCAUUCAGUACCAGACAGAUCGCCGGCCAGAGAGACAUGCAUCGUGCAGAGCAGUGUAUUGGCAUUUUUACACCCGUGAUUUUGUUUUGCUGCCUGUUAUAUGGCUUUUUCAUAGGAUGGUUCUCUCCUCUAUGAGGAUUCCUCUUCAGGAGGAUCUAAAGGUGAUGAAAGCCAUUUCAGAAAGGAAACACCACAUAAAAAUAUGUUUAACCAUUUAUUAAAAAAUUAAUAAUGCAAGUCUUGGUGAUAUAGGCUCUGCUCCUUCAGGGUAGCUCACAGCCCAAGCAAAGCAUCAAUAUAUAAAAUGACCUACAAGCAGUGAGCGUGGAUGGCUAUACCAAUCCACCAGCAGGAAAACAGAAUCUAACAGGUGGAAGCUGGUUUGGUGGUGGGAGCAAACGCAUACUAGCAGUAGCAGCAAGCGGCAGUAGGAUGUUUGAACAGAUCCCGUCAGUUUCAAUGGACCGCCAAAUAAGGUAUGCCAGUAUCUAUCCAACACAAGUCCCACUGGCCAUCACCAUCACACUCCCACUCCAUUAUCUGUACCAGAGGAUAAACAGAACAGCUCCUAGCCAGUCACGGGACCCAGCCUCUCCCUGAUGUACAUGCAGUCAGUCAGUAUCCACCCAACCAGGUUUCUCAUGUUCUCUUCUCCUCUCACUCCAAGUUAUUGAUUGCCAUGGCUUGGGUGACAUCACCACAGAUUUGAUCAUCAGCAUUAUGGAUUUUUUUUGACGGACAAUUUGCUCUGUCCUGUGCUCGGCCAUAUAUCUUAAAUUGUCUGACCCCAAAAUACACAGAGAUGCAGGGGUAUUUUCUGGAGUCCUACCUUCAGUGCUCGACCAUUGGAACCAGAGUAUGUGUGGCAGUUUGCUGGAUGGAAUAGGGCCAACGAAAAGACAAUGUGGGACUGCUGGUCUUGUCAUGGAGGGCACCGGUCUGUCCCAAUGGGAUUAAAGAGACAUGUGAGGACAUACACACUGGCAUCUUGCCAAGUAAAUACCCUAACUUCAGCUGAUCAAACGGUUUUCAAGUGUCAAGGGUCUACGGUUAAGUAUUCCUUCUGACAUCCCUGAAUGGAAUAUGCAUGCAUGCUUUUCAGUUGUAUUUUAGUAGUCUUUCAUUUUACCUAUUUAUUUUCUAACUUUUAACUGGUUACUAUCAAUAUAAGUAUGCUUAAAUCAAAUAUUCAGAAACACAAUAAACAAAAGCUACUACAGUAUUUCAAUGCACCGUCAGCAUGUUUGGCCAGGUUGCGUCCCUCUUCAGAAUAGAGCAGUAGCAUAAUACACAUUUCUCUGUGCAUUC